This 437-nucleotide ribosomal RNA is filed under the name uncultured bacterium. RNAcentral's name for it is "bacterial SSU rRNA". It matches the Rfam family "Bacterial small subunit ribosomal RNA", at positions 340 to 769 of the family's 1533-position model. The record is from RNAcentral.
UACGGAAGGCAGCAGUGGGGAAUAUUGCACAAUGGGCGAAAGCCUGAUGCAGCUAUGCCGCGUGUAUGAAGAAGGCCUUAGGGUUGUAAAGUACUUUCAUCGGGGAGGAAAAACAAAACUAAUAAUUUUAUUUCUUGACGUUACCCGAAAAAGAAGCACCGGCUAACUCCGUGCCAGCAGCCGCGGUAAUACGGAGGGUGCUAGCGUUAAUCAGAAUUACUGGGCGUAAAGAGCACGUAGGUGGUUUUUUUAAGUCAGAUGUGAAAUCCCUGGGCUUAACCUAGGAACUGCAUUUUGAAACUGAAAUACUAGAGUAUCGUAGAGGGAGGUAGAAUUCUAGGUGUAGCGGUGAAAUGCGUAGAUAUCUGGAGGAAUACCUGUGGCGAAAGCGGCCUCCUAAACGAAUACUGACACUGAGGUGCGAAAGCGUGGGGAGC